RNAcentral lists this long non-coding RNA (1374 nucleotides) under Betta splendens (Siamese fighting fish). RNAcentral's name for it is "lncRNA (ENSBSLG00000020163.1)". The record is from RNAcentral. Lineage: Eukaryota; Metazoa; Chordata; Actinopteri; Anabantiformes; Osphronemidae.
AUGGAAAGUAGACAACAAUGGCUUACCAGGCUGAAAAAUGAACUUAGCAACAGUCCUCUGGUGUCAAACGUGGCAUUUGGCUUCAUCCUCAUGGGACUAGAGAAGCUGGUGGAGCUGGAGUUUGAGUGUCCUUGCAGCCCUACGUGGAAUGGAGUGUUUUCAUCAGCGUUCUUCAUCAUCCCCGCCGUGAUGGCCUUCACCUUGAUGCUGAUCAUUCAAGGAUGCAGGUGUGACAUGUGGUGCAGGAAAACGGUCUCCCUCUCCAGCUUCGUUCCCGCGAUCGUCUGGCUGAUUUUGCUGUUUCUCGACGGCCAGUACUUCGCUUGCGCUAUGACAGACUGGGAGGGUAGAUUUGUCCUAGUGGACAAGGCUGCGCCGCAGAAGUGGUGUGAGCCAAUUAGUGAGGGCGCUGUCACGCCACAAGAACUGAUGCUCCGCUCCCAGCAGCUGUUCGUCUUCUCUCAGGUUAUAGGCAUAAUCCUCCUCAUUUUCAUCUGUGUGGGUCUCGUAGUGUAUGUAAUCAGAGAAAGCUGCCAACGGGAGGUGGAGAUGCAGGAUGCAGACGUAGCAGAGCUCACCGUGCUCAGGAUGAGCUCUCUGCGGACCAGGACGUCGUGAGAGGACCUGACCGCCCACCUCAGCCGCCUGCUGCCGCCACGGACGCUUUGUAAAUACCCCGAGCAGACAGAGGAGUUGUUACGCUCCCUGUGGACAAUUGUGAAAAAUGAUGCUGAAAUGGUUGCCGUGAAUAUGGAAAUGAGCAAAGCUGGAGUUUGUGUUUUUUUUCUGCCCACUGGUCCAAAUGUGAAGCUACAGCCUGUUAGCUUAGCUUACCACGAAGACUUGAAACAGGGAAUAACAGCUAGACCGAGUUCGUCAGGAGGCCACAAAACGUACCAGCCAGCAACUGUAAAUAAUUCACGCGUCUUUAUCAAAUUUAUGCAGACAUUUUCUCAGCAGGCAGCAGUUGCAAGGCAACCCCCAAAGACUGUGGGAAGCACUGCUUCCACCCAAGAACUAGUCAACAAUGUUUGGAAACUUUUUUUAUAUAUUUUAUAUCAGCUUGUGAAAACUACCAGGCAGCUAAUAUUGAUCUGAGAAGUUUUAGUUGAAUAGAACAAUGGUUUGUGUUGUGUGUGCCAAACUGAAAAUGUGUCAAAUUACUUGUUUUUGUUUUCCUUCAUGAAAACCAAAGAGUUGGAUCCUCAUCUAAGGAUUCUGAACCAAUUAUCCAAAGGUUGCUCCUGUGUGACAACUCUAGAUGUCAUAGGACUUUUUUUUAUCAUGGCUGCAAUCAGCCAAAAAUCGAAUUCACAAACAAAGUCUAUUGCUGUAUGUUUGUUUCAUAAAUAUUUUGUAAUAAAUGAAUUUAUU